RNAcentral lists this ribosomal RNA (239 nucleotides) under uncultured bacterium. RNAcentral describes it as "partial 16S ribosomal RNA". It matches the Rfam family "Bacterial small subunit ribosomal RNA", at positions 15 to 244 of the family's 1533-position model. The record is from RNAcentral.
GAUCCUGGCUCAGGAUGAACGCUAGCUACAGGCUUAACACAUGCAAGUCGAGGGGCAGCAUGAACUUAGCUUGUCUAAGUUUGAUGGCGACCGGCGCACGGGUGAGUAACGCGUAUCCAACCUACCCCUUGUCCAUCGGAUAACCCGUCGAAAGGCGGCCUAACACGAUAUGCGGUUCACCGCAGGCAUCUAACGUGAACGAAAUGUUGAAGGAGAAGGAUGGGGAUGCGUCUGAUUAG